RNAcentral lists this ribosomal RNA (1267 nucleotides) under metagenome. RNAcentral describes it as "bacterial SSU rRNA". It matches the Rfam family "Bacterial small subunit ribosomal RNA", at positions 238 to 1498 of the family's 1533-position model. The record is from RNAcentral.
GUAUUAACUUGUUGGUGGGGUAACGGCCUACCAAGGUGAUGAUACGUAGCCGAACUGAGAGGUUGAUCGGCCACAUUGGGACUGAGACACCGCCCAAACCCCUACGGGAGGCAGCAGUAGGGAAUCUUCCACAAUGGACGAAAGUCUGAUGGAGCAACGCCGCGUGAAUGAAGAAGGCCUUCGGGUCGUAAAAUUCUGUUGUCAGAGAAGAAUGUGCGUGAGAGUAACUGUUCACGUAUUGACGGUAUCUGACCAGAAAGCCACGGCUAACUACGUGCCAGCAGCCGCGGUAAUACGUAGGUGGCAAGCGUUGUCCGGAUUUAUUGGGCGUAAAGGGAACGCAGGCGGUCUUUUAAGUCUGAUGUGAAAGCCUUCGGCUUAACCGAAGUAGUGCAUUGGAAACUGGAAGACUUGAGUGCAGAAGAGGAGAGUGGAACUCCAUGUGUAGCGGUAAAAUGCGUAGAUAUAUGGAAGAACACCAGUGGCGAAAGCGGCUCUCUGGUCUGUAACUGACGCUGAGGUUCGAAAGCGUGGGUAGCAAACAGGAUUAGAUACCCUGGUAGUCCACGCCGUAAACGAUGAGUGCUAAGUGUUGGAGGGUUUCCGCCCUUCAGUGCUGCAGCUAACGCAUUAAGCACUCCGCCUGGGGAGUACGGUCGCAAGACUGAAACUCAAAGGAAUUGACGGGGGCCCGCACAAGCGGUGGAGCAUGUGGUUUAAUUCGAAGCAACGCGAAGAACCUUACCAGGUCUUGACAUCUUCUGACAAUUCCAGAGAUGGAACGUUCCCUUCGGGGACAGAAUGACAGGUGGUGCAUGGUUGUCGUCAGCUCGUGUCGUGAGAUGUUGGGUUAAGUCCCGCAACGAGCGCAACCCUUAUUGUCAGUUGCCAUCAUUAAGUUGGGCACUCUGGCGAGACUGCCGGUGACAAACCGGAGGAAGGUGGGGAUGACGUCAAAUCAUCAUGCCCCUUAUGACCUGGGCUACACACGUGCUACAAUGGACGGUACAACGAGUCGCUAACUCGCGAGGGCAAGCUAAUCUCUUAAAGCCGUUCUCAGUUCGGAUUGCAGGCUGCAGCUCGCCUGCAUGAAGUCGGAAUCGCUAGUAAUCGCGAAUCAGCAUGUCGCGGUGAAUACGUUCCCGGGCCUUGUACACACCGCCCGUCACACCAUGAGAGUUUGUAACACCCAAAGUCGGUGGGGUAACCUUUUGGAGCCAGCCGCCUAAGGUGGGACAGAUGAUUGGGGUGAAGUCGUAACAAGGUA